Molecule: ribosomal RNA, 623 nt
Filed under: uncultured bacterium
Lineage: Bacteria
Description: bacterial SSU rRNA
Rfam family: Bacterial small subunit ribosomal RNA
Source: RNAcentral
UAAACUUGCUUCCCUGCUGACGAGAGGAGGACGGGUGAGUAAUGUCUGGGAAACUGCCUGAUGGAGGGGGAUAACUACUGGAAACGGUAGCUAAUACCGCAUAACGUCGCAAGACCAAAGAGGGGGACCUUCGGGCCUCUUGCCAUCGGAUGUGCCCAGAUGGGAUUAGCUAGUAGGUGGGGUAACGGCUCACCUAGGCGACGAUCCCUAGCUGGUCUGAGAGGAUGACCAGCCACACUGGAACUGAGACACGGUCCAGACUCCUACGGGAGGCAGCAGUGGGGAAUAUUGCACAAUGGGCGCAAGCCUGAUGCAGCCAUGCCGCGUGUAUGAAGAAGGCCUUCGGGUUGUAAAGUACUUUCAGCGGGGAGGAAGGGAGUAAAGUUAAUACCUUUGCUCAUUGACGUUACCCGCAGAAGAAGCACCGGCUAACUCCGUGCCAGCAGCCGCGGUAAUACGGAGGGUGCAAGCGUUAAUCGGAAUUACUGGGCGUAAAGCGCACGCAGGCGGUUUGUUAAGUCAGAUGUGAAAUCCCCGGGCUCAACCUGGGAACUGCAUCUGAUACUGGCAAGCUUGAGUCUCGUAAAGGGGGGUAGAAUUCCAGGUGUAGCGGUGAAAUGCGU